UAAUAGCGUAUAUUUAAGUUGUUGCAGUUAAAAAGCUCGUAGUUGAAUUUCUGGAGAAUGGGAUUUUAGCUCUCAUUAAUUUGUGUGGCUAGUCUCAGUUCUUCUUCCUUCUAGAAGCCUCACUCGCAUUCAUUUGCUGGUGCUGGAUGUUCUAGAUUGUUUACUUUGAAAAAAUUAGAGUGUUCAAAGCAGGCGUUUGCAACUGAAUACAUUAGCAUGGAAUAAUGGAAUAGGACCAUUGUCUUAUUUUGUUGGUUCAUAAGAAAUGGUAAUGAUUAAUAGGGACAGUUGGGGGCAUUAGUACUCCGGUGUCAGAGGUGAAAUUCUUAGAUUGCCGGAUGACUAACUACUGCGAAAGCAUUUGCCAAGGAUGUUCUCAUUAA
Molecule: ribosomal RNA, 383 nt
Filed under: uncultured eukaryote
Lineage: Eukaryota
Description: partial 18S ribosomal RNA
Rfam family: Eukaryotic small subunit ribosomal RNA
Source: RNAcentral